This 262-nucleotide ribosomal RNA is filed under the name uncultured archaeon. RNAcentral's name for it is "partial 16S ribosomal RNA". It matches the Rfam family "Archaeal small subunit ribosomal RNA", at positions 748 to 1009 of the family's 1478-position model. The record is from RNAcentral.
AGGGUGUAAACGCUGCCGACUUGGUGUUGGAGGCCCUUCGGGGGCAUUCAGUGCCGGAGAGAAGUUGUUAAGUCGGCCACUUGGGGAGUACGUCCGCAAGGAUGAAACUUAAAGGAAUUGGCGGGGGAGCACCACAAGAGGUGGGAGGCUGCGGUUCAAUUGGACUCAACGCCGGAAAACUCAUCGGGAGCGACAGCAGUAUGAUUGCCAGGUUGAUGACCUUGCUUGACAAGCUGAGAGGUGGUGCAUGGCGUAGUCGUGU